GUUUUUGCUCCAAGUCAGCCACUCCAUUAAUAGGAAUAUCAUAGCCACAUCUUUGAAAGUAAUGACACCACUGUUCUCUGGAGUGUGUUCAGGGUCUUACUCUGUCACUCAGCUUGAGUGCAGUGGUAUAAUCGGCUUACUGCAGCCUUGAGCUCCUGGGUUCAAGUGAUCCUCCCACCUCAGCUUCCCAAGUAGCUGGGACUACAGCUGGGACUACAUGAUCAAGCGAUCCUCCUGCUUCAGCCUCUCAAAGUGCUGGAAUUAUAGGUGAAAAGGACUAUACCUAGAAGAUGGUGAAACUCUGGGUUGGAAGGAAUUUGAGUCUUUGAGGGCUUCAUGGAAUCAAACUGCCAGAACAAUAUGGGAAUAAAUAUUUGCCUUCUUUAAACUGCUUUUAUUUUAGAUCUUUGUGAUUCAGCCAACCUAAUCAAAACCGAUCUAGAGGCUUGGACCUUAGUUAUUUUUUCUGAACUGAAAUGCAACCUGCCCUACAUAUUCUAUUAAGAAACUUAUAAACAACUAAUGUCUGUGUAGACUUUAUCAUAAUCCUCAGGAGCUUUAUAUAGACAGGACACCUGAAUUAGAAAGAGAAGCGUCCUCAGCCCUUUUAGACUCAAAGAUUCUACAGUGCACUAUUUUACUUGAAGAAUAUUCUUUUAAUAAAAAAUUAACAGAAAGUCAAUGCCUUGCCCUGAGACAAUUCUAAUAAAGUCAAUGAGUU
Molecule: long non-coding RNA, 721 nt
Filed under: Homo sapiens (human)
Lineage: Eukaryota; Metazoa; Chordata; Mammalia; Primates; Hominidae
Description: HSALNT0089780
Source: RNAcentral